GACGAACGCUGGCGGCGUGCUUAACACAUGCAAGUCGAACGGAAAGGCCCUGCUUGCAGGGUACUCGAGUGGCGAACGGGUGAGUAACACGUGGGUGAUCUGCCCUGCACUUCGGGAUAAGCCUGGGAAACUGGGUCUAAUACCGGAUAGGAGCCAUUUUUAGUGUGAUGGUUGGAAAGUUUUCUCGGUGUAGGAUGAGCUCGCGGCCUAUCAGCUUGUUGGUGGGGUAAUGGCCUACCAAGGCGGCGACGGGUAGCCGGCCUGAGAGGGUGGACGGCCACAUUGGGACUGAGAUACGGCCCAGACUCCUACGGGAGGCAGCAGUGGGGAAUAUUGCACAAUGGGCGCAAGCCUGAUGCAGCGACGCCGCGUGGGGGAUGACGGCCUUCGGGUUGUAAACUCCUUUCGCUAGGGACGAAGCUUUUUGUGACGGUACCUAGAUAAGAAGUGCCGGCUAACUACGUGCCAGCAGCCGCCGUAA
This 481-nucleotide ribosomal RNA is filed under the name uncultured bacterium. Its description in RNAcentral is "partial 16S ribosomal RNA". It matches the Rfam family "Bacterial small subunit ribosomal RNA", at positions 28 to 523 of the family's 1533-position model. The record is from RNAcentral.